GAUGGUCCUUAAAAAGACCUUUAGACA
Molecule: transfer RNA, 27 nt
Filed under: Nyctimystes humeralis (green big-eyed treefrog)
Lineage: Eukaryota; Metazoa; Chordata; Amphibia; Anura; Pelodryadidae
Description: partial tRNA-Phe
Source: RNAcentral